Molecule: unclassified non-coding RNA, 286 nt
Filed under: fungal sp.
Lineage: Eukaryota; Fungi
Description: partial internal transcribed spacer region
Rfam family: Eukaryotic small subunit ribosomal RNA (bases 1-46)
Source: RNAcentral
AAGUCGUAACAAGGUUUCCGUAGGUGAACCUGCGGAAGGAUCAUUGUCGUGACCCUUAAACAAAACAGACCGUGAACAUGUCAUCCAUGUCGUCGGACUUUGGUUCGGCAAAGGCCUCCCACCUUCUCUACGUCGGAGAGGGGCCGCCAAAGAACCCACGGCGCCAAAGGCGUCAAGGAACACUGAUAUUGCCUUGUUCGGGGUCAUGUUUGGCUUGCCGAUCAUGCCUCGCGCAAUGUUGCUAUCUUAAUCCACAUGACUCUCAGCAACGGAUAUCUCGGCUCUC